RNAcentral lists this ribosomal RNA (494 nucleotides) under uncultured bacterium. RNAcentral's name for it is "partial 16S ribosomal RNA". It matches the Rfam family "Bacterial small subunit ribosomal RNA", at positions 28 to 507 of the family's 1533-position model. The record is from RNAcentral.
GACGAACGCUGGCGGCGCGCUUAACACAUGCAAGUCGAACGGAAAGGCCUGCUUUCCCUUGUGGAUUGCGGGUACUCGAGUGGCGAACGGGUGAGUAACACGUGAGUGAUCUGCCCCCAACUUGGGUAUAAGCCUGGGAAACUGGGUCUAAUUCCCGAUAGGACUGCAGGGUGGUGCCUGUGGUGGAAAACGAUUUUCUAGUGGUUGGGGAUGAGCUCGCGGCCUAUCAGCUUGUUGGUGGGGUAAUGGCCUACCAAGGCGGCGACGGGUAGCCGGCCUGAGAGGGUGGACGGCCACAUUGAGACUGAGAUACGGCCCAGACUCCUACGGGAGGCAGCAGUGGGGAAUAUUGCACAAUGGGCGGAAGCCUGAUGCAGCGACGCCGCGUGGGGGAUGACGGCCUUCGGGUUGUAAACUCCUUUCGACCGCGAGGAAGCCACCUGGUUGGAAGGGUGGUGACGGUAGUGGUAGAAGAAGCACCGGCUAACUACGUG